GAACUGCGAUAAGUAAUGUGAAUUGCAGAAUUCAGUGAAUCAUCGAGUCUUUGAACGCACAUUGCGCCCCCUGGCAUUCCGGGGGGCAUGCCUGUCCGAGCGUCAUUGCUGCCCUUCAAGCCCGGCUUGUGUGUUGGGUCGUCGUCCCCUCCGGGGGACGGGCCCGAAAGGCAGCGGCGGCACCGCGUCCGGUCCUCGAGCGUAUGGUGCUUUGUCACCCGCUCGAUAAGGACCGGCCGGGCGCCAGCCGGCGUCUCCAACCUUUUUUUCUCAGGUUGACCUCGGAUCAGGUAGGGAUACCCGCUGAACUUAAGC
RNAcentral lists this unclassified non-coding RNA (315 nucleotides) under plant metagenome. RNAcentral's name for it is "partial contains 5.8S ribosomal RNA, internal transcribed spacer 2, and large subunit ribosomal RNA". The stretch from base 1 to 105 matches the Rfam family "5.8S ribosomal RNA", at positions 50 to 154 of the family's 154-position model. The record is from RNAcentral.